This 734-nucleotide long non-coding RNA is filed under the name Homo sapiens (human). Its description in RNAcentral is "HSALNT0006468". Lineage: Eukaryota; Metazoa; Chordata; Mammalia; Primates; Hominidae. The record is from RNAcentral.
UUUUUUUCCCCCAGUCAUGAGCAUAAAUGAUGCCCCUGCAGGGCAGUGCCUGAGAGGGUCAGAGAAGGGCCGGUCCCUCAGGCCAGCUGGGCUCUCCUAUCCCUCAGGCAGAGGAGGGGUUGGCAGGCCCCAGAUGCCUUUCGUCAAGAAGACAAGGAUGGCUUUGAAGGCUCCUUGGAAGGUUGCCGCUUGCCCACGGACAAUCCCGGGAGCUAGGGUAUCACAAAAUUCAAGGAAGCCCGGGAGGAGAAGCCAGCUCUGCUAGUGGCUCAGGAAGGACUGCAGGAUGAGUCAGACCUUAACAAGGAGAUCCUCUGAAGACAAGACUCCUUCCCUACCCCUUGGGGGUCACCCCUAAUGGUUUAAUUCAACAAAAAAUGUCUGCCAUUUCCUGUAACCUCUGUCUUCCCUACCCCAACUCCUUCAAGAUGCUCUGCUGCUAUCUAGUCCCCUCUACCUUCUUGUCUCUUAGCUCAGGGGCAUUUCCAAACUGCCAGCCCCAUGCUGCUUCCACAGCCUGAUUUCUUAGAGCCUGGCCUCCUCCCACAUGCUGUCUCAUCCAAUCCGCUCUGCAGCUCCCUAAGGGGACAUUAUAGUGCCCAGAUAGGAAAACCAAAGCACAAAGAAGUGACAUGACUUGCCCCAACCACACAGCCAGUGACUAGCAAGACUCAAACUGGGGUUCGUCAUGAUGUGAGACCCCUCAGUACAUGAGUGUGCUCCAAGUACAGGAC